Molecule: small RNA, 884 nt
Filed under: Histoplasma ohiense
Lineage: Eukaryota; Fungi; Ascomycota; Eurotiomycetes; Onygenales; Ajellomycetaceae
Description: hypothetical lncRNA
Source: RNAcentral
CCGUCUUUCUAAAUUUACGAAUAAAAACUACGUCCCUCUCACAGCUACGGCAUAAUUAAUUACCCCUUGCCUCCUACUUUCUCCUCUCCUCAGGCUUCCACGUCGUUUCAACCUCAAAUGAAUCCUUCCUAAGUUCCUCCCAGUCCAGCCUCCCCCACCUCUCCGGCCUCUCCAACGCAUCCACAAAAUGCUUCAUAGCCAACACAGCCUGACCCGCCCACCUCUCCUUACUGACCUUCCCUACCCCAACCGCCAACGGGGGCAUUAAGAUCCUAUCAAUCCUCCUCCUCCUGGCUUUCUCCCCCCUCUCCUCCCCGCCAUCCCCUUCCUCUCUGACCUCUCGAUUCCACCUCUCUACCUCCCCCAUCAACGACCACACACACUUAUAAACAACCUCCCGAUCCCACACCACAUUCUCCGGCAUACGCAUCGUCGGACACAGAGCCACCCACCUACAGCCCCCCAGCGCCUUUCCCGCAUUCACUAUCUCCUCCGGAAACGGUACCAGCGUGCAGGUGCCCGGCGGCGCAUAACCGCGCCAGCGCUCGUAGAGCGUUUUCUGCGCAGCACGCGUUAAGGUGAGGUACGGGUGGUCGGGCAGACAGAAGGUGCGGGAGAUGGCGUCGUCGAAGGCGCCGUCAAGACGGCCAUAGGAAUUGGCGGGGGAAACGACCAGGUCGAAGGGUUGGGUAUGUGGGACGGUGUUAAGGCGUUCAUUGAGGGGGACUAUUUUGAUCUUUUGCUCGGCUUGUUGGGUCGGUUGGGGGGAGGUGGUGGUGGAUGAAGAAGGGGAGAAGAAGGUGACCGCAGGCCAGUACUUGCGGAGGGCGUCCUGGAAGGCAACUAUGUUUUCCUUUUCUCUGCAAAGGAGGAGGAUUUCAGGG